Molecule: ribosomal RNA, 1482 nt
Filed under: uncultured bacterium
Lineage: Bacteria
Description: bacterial SSU rRNA
Rfam family: Bacterial small subunit ribosomal RNA
Source: RNAcentral
GAUUGAACGCUGGCGGCAGGCCUAACACAUGCAAGUCGAGCGGUAGCACAGAGAGCUUGCUCUCGGGUGACGAGCGGCGGACGGGUGAGUAAUGUCUGGGAAACUGCCUGAUGGAGGGGGAUAACUACUGGAAACGGUAGCUAAUACCGCAUAACGUCGCAAGACCAAAGUGGGGGACCUUCGGGCCUCAUGCCAUCAGAUGUGCCCAGAUGGGAUUAGCUAGUAGGUGGGGUAACGGCUCACCUAGGCGACGAUCCCUAGCUGGUCUGAGAGGAUGACCAGCCACACUGGAACUGAGACACGGUCCAGACUCCUACGGGAGGCAGCAGUGGGGAAUAUUGCACAAUGGGCGCAAGCCUGAUGCAGCCAUGCCGCGUGUGUGAAGAAGGCCUUCGGGUUGUAAAGCACUUUCAGCGGGGAGGAAGGCGUUAAGGUUAAUAACCUUGGCGAUUGACGUUACCCGCAGAAGAAGCACCGGCUAACUCCGUGCCAGCAGCCGCGGUAAUACGGAGGGUGCAAGCGUUAAUCGGAAUUACUGGGCGUAAAGCGCACGCAGGCGGUCUGUCAAGUCGGAUGUGAAAUCCCCGGGCUCAACCUGGGAACUGCAUUCGAAACUGGCAGGCUAGAGUCUUGUAGAGGGGGGUAGAAUUCCAGGUGUAGCGGUGAAAUGCGUAGAGAUCUGGAGGAAUACCGGUGGCGAAGGCGGCCCCCUGGACAAAGACUGACGCUCAGGUGCGAAAGCGUGGGGAGCAAACAGGAUUAGAUACCCUGGUAGUCCACGCCGUAAACGAUGUCGAUUUGGAGGUUGUGCCCUUGAGGCGUGGCUUCCGGAGCUAACGCGUUAAAUCGACCGCCUGGGGAGUACGGCCGCAAGGUUAAAACUCAAAUGAAUUGACGGGGGCCCGCACAAGCGGUGGAGCAUGUGGUUUAAUUCGAUGCAACGCGAAGAACCUUACCUGGUCUUGACAUCCACAGAACUUUCCAGAGAUGGAUUGGUGCCUUCGGGAACUGUGAGACAGGUGCUGCAUGGCUGUCGUCAGCUCGUGUUGUGAAAUGUUGGGUUAAGUCCCGCAACGAGCGCAACCCUUAUCCUUUGUUGCCAGCGGUUCGGCCGGGAACUCAAAGGAGACUGCCAGUGAUAAACUGGAGGAAGGUGGGGAUGACGUCAAGUCAUCAUGGCCCUUACGACCAGGGCUACACACGUGCUACAAUGGCAUAUACAAAGAGAAGCGACCUCGCGAGAGCAAGCGGACCUCAUAAAGUAUGUCGUAGUCCGGAUUGGAGUCUGCAACUCGACUCCAUGAAGUCGGAAUCGCUAGUAAUCGUAGAUCAGAAUGCUACGGUGAAUACGUUCCCGGGCCUUGUACACACCGCCCGUCACACCAUGGGAGUGGGUUGCAAAAGAAGNUAGGUAGCUUAACCUUCGGGAGGGCGCUUACCACUUUGUGAUUCAUGACUGGGGUGAAGUCGAACAAGGUAACC